AUGGUGUUGCUUGACAUUAGGGGAAUGUUGCAGUCAAUGGGUAAAGACAUUGUUGAUUUCGCUCUUCCAAACAUAGAUGAUGCGUUUGACCCUACAGAGGGCGAGGCAAGAGAGGUUAUCGAGGAAUCAACCGUUGAGUUUGACAUGGAUGACACAAAAUUGGCAUCUUCACUCAACAUGGAGCAGAGGGCCGCAUACGAUGAGAUACUAGGGGCUGUUGAACGCGGUGAUGGGGGUGUUUUCUUUGUUGAUGGCCCUGGAGGUACAGGUAAGACCUUCCUAUAUAGGGCGAUGCUUGCCAAGGUGAGAAGUCAGAGCAAGAUUGGUAUUGCUACCACGACGUCCGGCAUCGCCGCUUCUAUCAUGCCUGGCAGCAGGACUGCCCACUCCAGGUUCAAGAUCCCAUUGAGUUGCGAGGAUGGAGCAUCGUGCAGCUUCACCAAGCAGAGUGGGACCGCCAAGCUGCUACGGAUGGCCUCCUUGAUCAUAUGGGACGAGGCCAGCAUGACAAAGUGA
Molecule: ribosomal RNA, 516 nt
Filed under: Triticum aestivum (bread wheat)
Lineage: Eukaryota; Viridiplantae; Streptophyta; Magnoliopsida; Poales; Poaceae
Description: partial small subunit ribosomal RNA
Source: RNAcentral